This 464-nucleotide ribosomal RNA is filed under the name uncultured bacterium. RNAcentral describes it as "partial 16S ribosomal RNA". It matches the Rfam family "Bacterial small subunit ribosomal RNA", at positions 339 to 795 of the family's 1533-position model. The record is from RNAcentral.
CUACGGGUGGCUGCAGUGGGGAAUUUUGCGCAAUGGGCGAAAGCCUGACGCAGCGACGCCGCGUGAGGGAAGAAGGCCUUCGGGUCGUAAACCUCUGUCAGGGGGGAAGAAAACCGUUCGGUUAAUAUCCGCUCGGUCUGACGGUACCCCCAAAGGAAGCAUCGGCUAACUACGUGCCAGCAGCCGCGGUAAUACGUAGGAUGCAAGCGUUGCUCGGAAUCACUGGGUGUAAAGAGCGCGUAGGUGGCCAGUUAAGUCAGUGGUGAAAGCCCUCGGCUCAACCGAGGAACUGCCCCUGAAACUAGCUGGCUUGAGUACUGGAGAGGAAAGCGGAAUUCCUGGUGUAGCGGUGAAAUGCGUAGAUAUCAGGAGGAACACCGGUGGCGAAGGCGGCUUUCUGGACAGAUACUGACACUGAGGCGCGAAAGCGUGGGUAGCAAACAGGAUUAGAUACCCUCGUAGUC